UACAGAGAGCGCGAACGUUGUUCGGAAUCACUGGGCUUAAAGCGCACGUAGGCGGCAUGGUAAGUGUCGGGUGAAAUCCCACGGCUCACCCGUGGAACUGCCCGGCAGACUGCGAUGCUCGAGUGUGGUAGGGGAGAACGGAACUCCUGGUGGAGCGGUGAAAUGCGUAGAUAUCAGGAGGAACACCGGUGGCGAAGGCGGUUCUCUGGUCCACAACUGACGCUGAGGUGCGAAAGCUAGGGGAGCAAACGGG
RNAcentral lists this ribosomal RNA (253 nucleotides) under uncultured bacterium. RNAcentral's name for it is "partial 16S ribosomal RNA". It matches the Rfam family "Bacterial small subunit ribosomal RNA", at positions 524 to 776 of the family's 1533-position model. The record is from RNAcentral.